CGUACUGAGACACGGACCAGACUCCUACGGGAGGCAGCAGUGGGGAAUUUUGGACAAUGGGGGCAACCCUGAUCCAGCAACGCCGCGUGAGGGAUGAAGGCCUCUGGGCUGUAAACCUCUUUUCUCAAGGAAGAAGAUCUGACGGUACUUGAGGAAUAAGCACCGGCUAACUACGUGCCAGCAGCCGCGGUAAUACGUAGGGUGCAAGCGUUAAUCGGAAUUACUGGGCGUAAAGCGUGCGCAGGCGGUUAUACAAGACAGGCGUGAAAUCCCCGGGCUUAACCUGGGAAUGGCGUCUGUGACUGUAUGACUAGAGUGUGUCAGAGGGGGGUAGAAUUCCACGUGUAGCAGUGAAAUGCGUAGAUAUGUGGAGGAAUACCAAUGGCGAAGGCAGCCCCCUGGGAUAACACUGACGCUCAUGCACGAAAGCGUGGGGAGCAAACAGGAUUAGAUACCCUGGUAGUCCACGCCCUAAACGAUGCCGACUAGUUGCUGGGAAUUUACAUUCUCAGUAACGUAGCUAACGCGUGAAGUCGGCCGCCUGGGGAGUACGGUCGCAAGAUUAAAACUCAAAGGAAUUGACGG
This 585-nucleotide ribosomal RNA is filed under the name uncultured Pseudomonadota bacterium. RNAcentral describes it as "bacterial SSU rRNA". It matches the Rfam family "Bacterial small subunit ribosomal RNA", at positions 315 to 916 of the family's 1533-position model. Lineage: Bacteria; Pseudomonadati; Pseudomonadota. The record is from RNAcentral.